Peromyscus maniculatus bairdii (prairie deer mouse) is the source of this 302-nucleotide non-coding RNA. NCBI's taxonomy places the organism in Eukaryota, Metazoa, Chordata, Mammalia, Rodentia, Cricetidae. The record is from RefSeq and is a predicted model, not a curated record.
CAAGCCGGCACUCGGCUUGGCAAUGGAGCGCUCACAGCUGUGGCUCUGUCUCAGAUUCUUUUGGGGUCCUUCCACUCAGGAAAGGAAAGCAUUUGGGAAGUUGGACUUCAACUUCCGUGUGGAACAAAGCACAGGACUGAGCACUGACCCUGACGGGAAGGCCUGAUUGCAUGACCUCAGCUGAGAUACAGAGCUGCUGGGCCUCAGCGAUCCAUCUCCACACCAUCCGGAAAGCUUCUGCAGACAGAGGAAAACCAUCCGAAUGAGUUCUGGGGGAAAAAGAAACGUGCUACUUCAUUUAA